This 253-nucleotide ribosomal RNA is filed under the name uncultured bacterium. RNAcentral's name for it is "partial 16S ribosomal RNA". It matches the Rfam family "Bacterial small subunit ribosomal RNA", at positions 524 to 776 of the family's 1533-position model. The record is from RNAcentral.
UACGUAGGGUGCGAGCGUUAAUCGGAAUUACUGGGCGUAAAGCGUGCGCAGGCGGUUCGCCAAGUCAGGUGUGAAAUCCCCGGGCUUAACCUGGGAAUUGCGCUUGAAACUAGCGGGCUUGAGUGUGGCAGAGGGGGGUGGAAUUCCACGUGUAGCAGUGAAAUGCGUAGAUAUCCGGAGGAACACCGGUGGCGAAGGCGGCUUCCUGGACCGACACUGACGCUGAGGCGCGAAAGCUAGGGGAGCAAACGGG